AACCCUUGUCCUUAGUUACCAGCACGUAAUGGUGGGAACUCUAAGGAGACUGCCGGUGACAAACCGGAGGAAGGUGGGGAUGACGUCAAGUCAUCAUGGCCCUUACGGCCAGGGCUACACACGUGCUACAAUGGUCGGUACAAAGGGUUGCCAAGCCGCGAGGUGGAGCUAAUCCCAUAAAACCGAUCGUAGUCCGGAUCGCAGUCUGCAACUCGACUGCGUGAAGUCGGAAUCGCUAGUAAUCGUGAAUCAGAAUGUCACGGUGAAUACGUUCCCGGGCCUU
RNAcentral lists this ribosomal RNA (283 nucleotides) under uncultured Pseudomonas sp. Its description in RNAcentral is "partial 16S ribosomal RNA". It matches the Rfam family "Bacterial small subunit ribosomal RNA", at positions 1100 to 1382 of the family's 1533-position model. Lineage: Bacteria; Pseudomonadati; Pseudomonadota; Gammaproteobacteria; Pseudomonadales; Pseudomonadaceae. The record is from RNAcentral.